This 404-nucleotide ribosomal RNA is filed under the name uncultured bacterium. RNAcentral's name for it is "bacterial SSU rRNA". It matches the Rfam family "Bacterial small subunit ribosomal RNA", at positions 355 to 776 of the family's 1533-position model. The record is from RNAcentral.
UUAGGAAUUUUGGGCAAUGGGCGCAAGCCUGACCCAGCAACGCCGCGUGGGUGACGAAGGCCUUCGGGUUGUAAAGCCCUUUUCUGAGGGAAGAUGAUGACGGUACCUCAGGAAGAAGCACCGGCUAACUACGUGCCAGCAGCCGCGGUAAUACGUAGGGUGCAAGCGUUGCCCGGAUUUAUUGGGCGUAAAGGGCGCGCAGGCGGCUCGGCACGUCCGUUGUGAAAUCGCCCGGCUCAACUGGGCGGGGUCAGCGGAUACGGCCGAGCUGGAGCAAGCUAGGGGGCAAUGGAAUUCCCGGUGUAGUGGUGGAAUGCGUAGAUAUCGGGAGGAACACCAGUGGCGAAGGCGGUUGCCUGGAGCUUUGCUGACGCUGAGGCGCGAAAGCGUGGGGAGCGAUCCGG